AACGCGAAGAACCUUACCAGGUCUUGACAUCCCGGCGACGUACCCGUAACGGGGUAUUCUCUACGGAGCGCCGGAGACAGGUGGUGCAUGGUUGUCGUCAGCUCGUGUCGUGAGAUGUUGGGUUAAGUCCCGCAACGAGCGCAACCCUUAUGGUUAGUAGCCAGCAGGUAAAGCUGGGAACUCUAACGAGACUGCCGGGGAUAACCCGGAGGAAGGCGGGGAUGACGUCAAAUCAUCAUGCCCCUUAUGAUCUGGGCUACACACGUGCUACAAUGGCGUAAACAGAGGGAAGCGAAGGAGUGAUCCGGAGCGAAUCCCAAAAAUAACGUCUCAGUUCGGAUUGUAGUCUGCAACCCGACUACAUGAAGCUGGAAUCGCUAGUAAUCGCGAAUCAGAAUGUCGCGGUGAAUACGUUCCCGGGUCUUGUACACACCG
Molecule: ribosomal RNA, 435 nt
Filed under: uncultured bacterium
Lineage: Bacteria
Description: bacterial SSU rRNA
Rfam family: Bacterial small subunit ribosomal RNA
Source: RNAcentral